This 446-nucleotide ribosomal RNA is filed under the name uncultured bacterium. RNAcentral describes it as "bacterial SSU rRNA". It matches the Rfam family "Bacterial small subunit ribosomal RNA", at positions 330 to 793 of the family's 1533-position model. The record is from RNAcentral.
CCCAGACUCCUACGGGAGGCAGCAGUGGGGAAUAUUGCACAAUGGGGGGAACCCUGAUGCAGCGACGCCGCGUGGGUGAAGGAGUACUUCGGUACGUAAAGCCCUAUCAGCAGGAAAGAAAAUGACGGUACCUGACUAAGAAGCCCCGGCUAACUACGUGCCAGCAGCCGCGGUAAUACGUAGGGGGCAAGCGUUAUCCGGAUUUACUGGGUGUAAAGGGAGCGUAGACGGCAGUGCAAGUCCGGAGUGAAAGCCCGGGGCUCAACCCUGGGACUGCUCUGGAAACUGUAAAGCUGGAGUGCGGGAGGGGCAGGCGGAAUUCCUGGUGUAGCGGUGAAAUGCGUAGAUAUCAGGAGGAACACCGGCGGCGAAGGCGGCCUGCUGGACCGUAACUGACGUUGAGGCUCGAAAGCGUGGGGAGCAAACAGGAUUAGAUACCCGUGUAG